UUUUUCAAGAGAAGACAGGCAUACGAGCUUCUAACCCCAGCUCACGUUCCCUAUUAGUAGGAGAACAAUCCAAUGCUUGGUGAAUUCUGCUUCACAAUGAUAGGAAAAGCCGGCAUCGAAGGAUCAAAAAAGAGUCGUGUAAGGAAAGAGG
Long non-coding RNA from Sapajus apella (tufted capuchin), 151 nucleotides. RefSeq lists it as uncharacterized. The transcript is spliced from 6 exons. The record is from RefSeq and is a predicted model, not a curated record. Lineage: Eukaryota; Metazoa; Chordata; Mammalia; Primates; Cebidae.